UUUAAUAAAACUAUUUUUAUAAAAAAAUUGUAUGUUGUCAUUAUUUUACAUUAAACAUUCAAACAUCAAUAUUGUUCAUACAUCAACACAAUAUUCUUCCAUUCAUAUAAAAAGUCAGUGUCAUGUUGUGUGAGUGAAGAAACUUUUAAAAAUUAUUUUUAAAACUAACUUUCUAUAGCAGAAUUACUAAAAUAUUUAAUAUUUAAUAUGUAGAAUAUACUCCAAAGAAACCUGAUUGGAUAGUUCAUGAAGAAACAAGGAAACGAGAAGCUGAGAAACCUCAACCACCUACAUUUAGAGCACCUCUUAGGGAUGUCUUUGCAAAAACUAUUGGAAGUUCAACAACGAUUGAAUGUAUAAUAAGUGGAAAUCCUAGACCACAAGUAACUUGGUAUUUUAAUGACCGGGAAAUAGAUGUGACAACAGGUCGUUAUCGAGUUACCUACUUAGAAGAUCGUAUUCUUCUGCAUAUUCUUCGAAUUGAUUAUGAUGUGGAAGGAAGAUAUACAUGCAAGGCGGUAAAUGAAAAUGGUGAACAAA
This is a long non-coding RNA of Centruroides sculpturatus (bark scorpion), 540 nucleotides long. RefSeq lists it as uncharacterized. The record is from RefSeq and is a predicted model, not a curated record. NCBI's taxonomy places the organism in Eukaryota, Metazoa, Arthropoda, Arachnida, Scorpiones, Buthidae. The transcript is spliced from 2 exons.